RNAcentral lists this ribosomal RNA (492 nucleotides) under uncultured bacterium. RNAcentral's name for it is "partial 16S ribosomal RNA". It matches the Rfam family "Bacterial small subunit ribosomal RNA", at positions 29 to 507 of the family's 1533-position model. The record is from RNAcentral.
AGUGAACGCUGGCGGUAGGCCUAACACAUGCAAGUCGAACGGCAGCACAGUAAGAGCUUGCUCUUACGGGUGGCGAGUGGCGGACGGGUGAGGAAUACAUCGGAAUCUACUUUUUCGUGGGGGAUAACGUAGGGAAACUUACGCUAAUACCGCAUACGACCUACGGGUGAAAGCAGGGGAUCUUCGGACCUUGCGCGAUUGAAUGAGCCGAUGUCGGAUUGGCUAGUUGGCGGGGUAAAGGCCCACCAAGGCGACGAUCCGUAGCUGGUCUGAGAGGAUGAUCAGCCACACUGGAACGGGGACACGGUCCAGGCUCCUACGGGAGGCAGCAGUGGGGAAUAUUGGACAAUGGGCGCAAGCCUGAUCCAGCCAUACCGCGUGGGUGAAGAAGGCCUUCGGGUUGUAAAGCCCUUUUGUUGGGAAAGAAAAGCAGCAGGUUAAUACCCCGCUGUUCUGACGGUACCCAAAGAAUAAGCACCGGCUAACUUCGUG